UACGAAAGGUGCGAGCGUUGUUCGGAUUUACUGGGCGUAAAGAGCAUGUAGGCGGUCUAUUAAGUUGGAAGUGAAAUCCCAGGGCUCAACCCUGGAAGUGCUUACAAUACUGGUAGACUAGAGUAUGAGAGGGGAAAGCGGAAUUCCUAGUGUAGAGGUGAAAUUCGUAGAUAUUAGGAGGAACACCGGAGGCGAAAGCGGCUUUCUGGCUCAUUACUGACGCUGAGAUGCGAAAGCGUGGGGAGCAAACAGG
Molecule: ribosomal RNA, 253 nt
Filed under: uncultured bacterium
Lineage: Bacteria
Description: partial 16S ribosomal RNA
Rfam family: Bacterial small subunit ribosomal RNA
Source: RNAcentral